GACGAACGCUGGCGGCGUGCCUAAUACAUGCAAGUAGAACGCUGAAGGAGGAGCUUGCUUCUCCGGAUGAGUUGCGAACGGGUGAGUAACGCGUAGGUAACCUGCCUGGUAGCGGGGGAUAACUAUUGGAAACGAUAGCUAAUACCGCAUAACAGUAGAUGUUGCGUGACAUUUGCUUAAAAGGUGCAAUUGCAUCACUACCAGAUGGACCUGCGUUGUAUUAGCUAGUUGGUGAGGUAACGGCUCACCAAGGCGACGAUACAUAGCCGACCUGAGAGGGUGAUCGGCCACACUGGGACUGAGACACGGCCCAGACUCCUAAGGGAGGCAGCAGUAGGGAAGCUUCGGCAAUGGACGGAAGUCUGACCGAGCAACGCCGCGUGAGUGAAGAAGGUUGUCGGAUCGUAAAGCUCUGUUGUAAGAGAAGAACGAGUGUGAGAGUGGAAAGUUCACACUGUGACGGUAGCUUAACAGAAAGGGACGGCUAACUACGUG
RNAcentral lists this ribosomal RNA (495 nucleotides) under uncultured bacterium. RNAcentral's name for it is "partial 16S ribosomal RNA". It matches the Rfam family "Bacterial small subunit ribosomal RNA", at positions 28 to 507 of the family's 1533-position model. The record is from RNAcentral.